AGUGAACGCUGGCGGUAGGCCUAACACAUGCAAGUCGAACGGCAGCACAGUAAGAGCUUGCUCUUACGGGUGGCGGGUGGCGGACGGGUGAGGAAUACAUCGGAAUCUACUUUUUCGUGGGGGAUAACGUAGGGAAACUUACGCUAAUACCGCAUACGACCUACGGGUGAAAGCAGGGGAUCUUCGGACCUUGCGCGAUUGAAUGAGCCGAUGUCGGAUUAGCUAGUUGGCGGGGUAAAGGCCCACCAAGGCGACGAUCCGCAGCUGGUCUGAGAGGAUGAUCAGCCACACUGGAACUGAGACACGGUCCAGACUCCUACGGGAGGCAGCAGUGGGGAAUAUUGGACAAUGGGCGCAAGCCUGAUCCAGCCAUACCGCGUGGGUGAAGAAGGCCUUCGGGUUGUAAAGCCCUUUUGUUGGGAAAGAAAAGCAGCAGGUUAAUACCCCGCUGUUCUGACGGUACCCAAAGAAUAAGCACCGGCUAACUUCGUG
RNAcentral lists this ribosomal RNA (492 nucleotides) under uncultured bacterium. RNAcentral describes it as "partial 16S ribosomal RNA". It matches the Rfam family "Bacterial small subunit ribosomal RNA", at positions 29 to 507 of the family's 1533-position model. The record is from RNAcentral.